RNAcentral lists this ribosomal RNA (466 nucleotides) under uncultured bacterium. RNAcentral's name for it is "partial 16S ribosomal RNA". It matches the Rfam family "Bacterial small subunit ribosomal RNA", at positions 28 to 505 of the family's 1533-position model. The record is from RNAcentral.
GACGAACGCUGGCGGCGUGCUUAACACAUGCAAGUCGAACGGAAAGGCCCUGCUUUUGUGGGGUGCUCGAGUGGCGAACGGGUGAGUAACACGUGAGUAACCUGCCCUUGACUUUGGGAUAACUUCAGGAAACUGGGGCUAAUACCGGAUAGGAGCUCCUGCUGCAUGGUGGGGGUUGGAAAGUUUCGGCGGUUGGGGAUGGACUCGCGGCUUAUCAGCUUGUUGGUGGGGUAGUGGCUUACCAAGGCUUUGACGGGUAGCCGGCCUGAGAGGGUGACCGGCCACAGUGGGACUGCGAUACGGCCCAGGCUCCUACGGGAGGCAGCAGUGGAGAAUAUUGCACAAUGGGCGGAAGCCUGAUGCAGCAACGCCGCGUGCGGGAUGGCGGCCUUCGGGUUGUAAACCGCUUUCGCCUGUGACGAAGCGUGAGUGACGGUAAUGCGUAAAGAAGCACCGGCUAACUACG